GGAAUGUGACAUUUCAAGCACAGGACACUGAGUUCAGACCCUGUGGAAGCACCGAGACCCACCAGGCCUUCAUAUCCCUUCAUCUCCUUGAUGCAGCUGCCACGAGAGAAGGCUGUCACUGAGCCGCGCUCUAAACUAUGCCAAGCUCAUUCCCUGCCAUGCAGAAGUUAAUUUGGGCCACAUUUGCAACUUAUAACUCUGAUUUACUCAUUUGCUGGUACGAGGACCACACACAGCUUGACAGCUUGCCAACUCGCAUAGACCAUUCCCUCGGAAAAGAUUUCACCCAAGUUAUGACCCAGCUUGGCUGCUCCAAGAACAGCUGCCGGACUCUGGUGAGACAUGGAACUGAACAUCAGAAAAACAUCUUCUCUUUGCCUCGAAUUUUUACAUGUCAUUAAUGCAUCAUAUCCCUAUUCAGAUACUUUGACAUAAAUCAUGCUUAAUUAAAUUGUUGCU
This 459-nucleotide long non-coding RNA is filed under the name Marmota monax (woodchuck). The record is from RNAcentral. Lineage: Eukaryota; Metazoa; Chordata; Mammalia; Rodentia; Sciuridae.